AAUAGAUACCCGGGUAGUCCACGCCGUAAACGAUGAGUGCUAAGUGUUAGAGGGUUUCCGCCCUUUAGUGCUGCAGCUAACGCAUUAAGCACUCCGCCUGGGGAGUACGGCCGCAAGGCUGAAACUCAAAGGAAUUGACGGGGGCCCGCACAAGCGGUGGAGCAUGUGGUUUAAUUCGAAGCAACGCGAAGAACCUUACCAGGUCUUGACAUCCUCUGUUAACCCUAGAGAUAGGGCGUUCCCCUUCGGGGGACAGAGUGACAGGUGGUGCAUGGUUGUCGUCAGCUCGUGUCGUGAGAUGUUGGGUUAAGUCCCGCAACGAGCGCAACCCUUGAUCUUAGUUGCCAGCAUUCAGUUGGGCACUCUAAGGUGACUGCCGGUGAUAAACCGGAGGAAGGUGGGGAUGACGUCAAAUCAUCAUGCCCCUUAUGACCUGGGCUACACACGUGCUACAAUGGAUGGUACAAAGAGCUGCGAACCCGCGAGGGUAAGCGAAUCUCAUAAAGCCAUUCUCAGUUCGGAUUGUAGG
This 529-nucleotide ribosomal RNA is filed under the name uncultured bacterium. RNAcentral's name for it is "bacterial SSU rRNA". It matches the Rfam family "Bacterial small subunit ribosomal RNA", at positions 777 to 1304 of the family's 1533-position model. The record is from RNAcentral.